Molecule: long non-coding RNA, 608 nt
Organism: Pollicipes pollicipes
Lineage: Eukaryota; Metazoa; Arthropoda; Thecostraca; Pollicipedomorpha; Pollicipedidae
Exons: 3
Source: RefSeq, a predicted model, not a curated record
GUCAUGUCGAAAUGUGUCAGGACGGGAAUGAAUGCGUGGUAGUGAAGGAGUGAGGUAGACUGAACAAACAUGACUAAAUAAAAACGGUGGCUCGAGGGCGCUGAAACGUUGCCCGCUCCACCCCGCUGCGGCAUCGAAGAGCUAUCACAUCUUGCCGCGCAGUGCGCUUGACUGAGGACCAUCGUGGACGUCCCGCCAUUUCAUCUUUAAAGUCGGCGAUUUAACAUCCGCACAAUGGCACUGCGAAGAAAGAAAUCGAGUCAUUCAGAAGUGAAGCUGCCACCGGUAGCUGUAGAUGCAAGUUAUCAACCCUUCAGGAGAGACCAAUUUAAGGAUUGUUUUCUUCUUAAAUUUAGGGCCGAAAAACAAAAACAACUGAAGCUCCAGAGACACCUCGAGCUGCGCGCCAUGCUGGACAAGGCGCGCGUGUAUGAGCGUCUACAGCGGCGCCCGUUCCCCACCGGUUGGGAGCCCACAUUCAAGGACCAGCACCACAUCAGCUUCCUGCAGGACUGCGUGGGGCUGUCGCCUAUCCCGCCCGUCUCCGAGCUGUGGCUGCACAACAUGGUCCAGGUCAGAGACACAGGUCAGGUCCGGAGGUCAGGAAG